UACGUAGGGGGCAAGCGUUGUCCGGAUUUAUUGGGCGUAAAGCGCGUGUAGGCGGUCGGGCAAGUCGGAUGUGAAAGCCCCGGGCUCAACCCGGGAAGUGCAUUCGAUACUGCUUGGCUAGAGUACUGGAGAGGAUGGUGGAACUCUCGGUGUAGAGGUGAAAUUCGUAGAUAUCGAGAAGAACACCGGCGGCGAAGGCGGCCAUCUGGACAGAUACUGACGCUGAGACGCGAAAGCGUGGGGAGCAAACAGG
RNAcentral lists this ribosomal RNA (253 nucleotides) under uncultured bacterium. Its description in RNAcentral is "partial 16S ribosomal RNA". It matches the Rfam family "Bacterial small subunit ribosomal RNA", at positions 524 to 776 of the family's 1533-position model. The record is from RNAcentral.